AUCGAACGCUGGCGGCAGGCCUAACACAUGCAAGUCGAACGAGUGGCGGACGGGUGAGUAAUGUCUGGGAAACUGCCUGCUGGAGGGGGAUAACUACUGGAAACGGUAGCUAAUACCGCAUACCAUCAGAUGUGCCCAGAUGGGCGUAGCUUGUUGGUGGGGUAACGGCUCACAAAGGCGCCGCUCCCUAGCUGGUCUGAGAGGAUGACCAGUCACACUGGAACUGAGACACGGUCCAGACUCCUACGGGAGGCAGCAGGGGGGAAUAUUGCGCAAUGGGCGCAUGCCUGAUGCGGCCAUGCCGCGUGUAUGAAGAAGGGAUUCGGGUUGUAAAGUGCUGUCAGCGGGGAGGCGUUAGCCGCAUAAGAAGCACCGGCUAACUCCGUGCCAGCAGCCGCGGUAAUUC
Molecule: ribosomal RNA, 406 nt
Filed under: uncultured bacterium
Lineage: Bacteria
Description: partial 16S ribosomal RNA
Rfam family: Bacterial small subunit ribosomal RNA
Source: RNAcentral